CCUACGGGAGGCAGCAGUGGGGAAUUUUGGACAAUGGGCGAAAGCCUGAUCCAGCAAUGCCGCGUGCAGGAUGAAGGCCUUCGGGUUGUAAACUGCUUUUGUACGGAACGAAACGGUCUUUUCUAAUACAGAAGGCUAAUGACGGUACCGUAAGAAUAAGCACCGGCUAACUACGUGCCAGCAGCCGCGGUAAUACGUAGGGUGCAAGCGUUAAUCGGAAUUACUGGGCGUAAAGCGUGCGCAGGCGGUUAUGUAAGACAGUUGUGAAAUCCCCGGGCUCAACCUGGGAAUUGCAUCUGUGACUGCAUAGCUAGAGUACGGUAGAGGGGGGAUGGAAUUCCGCGUGUAGCAGUGAAAUGCGUAGAUAUGCGGAGGAACACCGAUGGCGAAGGCAAUCCCCUGGACCUGUACUGACGCUCAUGCACGAAAGCGUGGGGAGCAAACAGGAUUAGAUACCCUGGUAGUCCACGCCCUAAACGAUGUCAACUGGUUGUUGGGUCUUCACUGACUCAGUAACGAAGCUAACGCGUGAAGUUGACCGCCUGGGGAGUACGGCCGCAAGGUUGAAACGUCAAAGGAAUUGACGG
This 587-nucleotide ribosomal RNA is filed under the name uncultured bacterium. Its description in RNAcentral is "bacterial SSU rRNA". It matches the Rfam family "Bacterial small subunit ribosomal RNA", at positions 338 to 916 of the family's 1533-position model. The record is from RNAcentral.